Molecule: ribosomal RNA, 326 nt
Filed under: uncultured eukaryote
Lineage: Eukaryota
Description: partial 18S ribosomal RNA
Rfam family: Eukaryotic small subunit ribosomal RNA
Source: RNAcentral
CCCUUAGAUGUUCUGGGCUGCACGCGCGCUACACUGAUGCACUCAACGAGUUUACGACCUUGCCCGAUAGGGUUGGGUAAUCUUUUUAAAAUGCAUCGUGAUGGGGAUAGAUUAUUGCAAUUAUUAAUCUUCAACGAGGAAUUCCUAGUAAACGCGAGUCAUCAGCUCGUGCUGAUUACGUCCCUGCCCUUUGUACACACCGCCCGUCGCUCCUACCGAUUGAGUGCUCAGGUGAAUAAUUCGGACUGCAGCAAUGUUUGGAUCCCGAACGUUGCAGCGGAAAGUUUAGUGAACCUUAUCACUUAGAGGAAGGAGAAGUCGUAACA